RNAcentral lists this long non-coding RNA (11405 nucleotides) under Xyrichtys novacula (pearly razorfish). Lineage: Eukaryota; Metazoa; Chordata; Actinopteri; Labriformes; Labridae. The record is from RNAcentral.
GGCUUCCAGGAGCUUUGGCACUGGCCAAUCAUUGAUGCUGGAAGUCGGGAGAGUCUUGCCUGCUAAACGAGCGCUAUGCUGGGUGGCGAUGGGGCUACCUUCUCCAGAGGCUUCCUCAGCUUCGGAUCACUGGGACUGAGUCUCCCAAGAUGUAGUCAUCAUGCCAUGGAACGGCAUCACGGACAGGAGUCGACAUGAUGAGCAGCAAGGUGAGACGCAGCAUGAACAGCAAUUUAGGGUUUCUCAUUAGAUGGAUGUAAGUGCAAGCAGCAUGCAGAGGAAGCAGCAGAGGCAGGGAGGCUGAAGCAGAUUUAAAUAGAGCGCCCAAUAAGAUCAGCUGACCUGGUUGUGAUAUGUGGCAAUCGGAUGGAGUGAGCCUGCUCGGGAUAGCCCGCCCAUAUCAGCUGAUGAGCGAGAGCUGGGCAGAGCAGAAUGACUCCGUGGCCUGACUGAACUGCUUUAUUUUUUAAGACCUUUCUUCACAGGGGAUCAUUUUGAACUCUUCUAUCAUCAUUAUCGGUCUGUUAUUUUUAUUUCAUACUUGCAACUCUUUUCACAUUUGAGACCCAAACAGUAGAUCACAGCAUGCAUUAGUAAAUGUCUCCAGUAUACAGAGCGGAUCUGUGUUGUUAUAAAAGGCCGCUGUGUCUGUGUAUUUUCAGAGUGGCUGUCUAACACACUGUCUUUUUAAUCAAAGAGCGUUUCUGUUUGGGAAAUAAAUAGUUAUUUUAAUUAGCUGCUACAUAAACAACCAAGAUGACACUAAGUCAUUUUACAGGUUAAAGAGUGACAUAUUUAUGUCAUUUAAACAGUAACUCAGAUUUCAGGGUCAGUAAUGCCAUUGUAGUUGUGUUUAAAAAACCCUCCUGGAGGAUAAAACUCACAUUAGAUUGAACAUAUAAAUCCACAGCAAAGGUCAAAACAUCUGCGUUUUUUUCUGUCCUCUUUAUGAACAGAUGUCACUAAUGAUACCACAUCAUAGAGAAACCAUGAGGGACACUUACUCAAAGUUUACCACAUCAAAAUAAAACUUUUACAAACUUAAUAUGAUACACCAGGAGGAGGAUUUCUGUCUCUGUAGAAACCGAUAUCUGCGUGAAGAUCAGCUAACAAUCUGUUCUAGAUCAAACAUUUACACUGAGACACUAAUCUGACUAAUGCUCAGUCACUGAAGACAAUCAGAGUUUAGAUUUACAGACUUCCCUGAAUGUAUCAGAGAUGAUGGAGCUGACCUCCAUUCAACUAAGGAUGAAUAGAUGUCUGAAUGACUGAUGUUACAGUAACACAGAGACUCACCGCAGACAGAUGAAGAACACAUAGUUUCCUGUCAGUUCUGUUUGGAGGAAAAUAUCUAAUCAGCUGGUCACAUGGCAGAGACUCUGGGCAAACUGAGCAUGAGAAUAGGGAAGAAAUCAGAUUGAACAGCUGAUGGAGGAGGUCAGAGAAAACAUCCUGACUAUCUUCUGUGCUCACCAUUCAGCUAAGACUAACUGAGGCUACAGUUCAUACGAGUUCACCAAACUAGAAACAGCAGGUUGGAGAAAUGAUACCUCUUCUGCUUAGUCAGGAUUAAACAGUCUGAAAGCAUGGAUCCAUCCUGUCAGGCAGGUAGAGUAUCAGUGAAAGUCCUCAGCCAUAUUAUCACUGAGCAUCCUUUUAUGACAUCAGUAUGACAGUAAGCUCAUCAGAUCUCAGUCCGAGAGCACCUUUUGGGGAUCAAUGUAGUCACAUGAUGAAUCUGCAGUAACUGAAUGGUGCUUUCAGGUCAGCAUGGACUAGCAUCUCUGAGAAGUCUUUACUCCAUGACUCAGGAUGAGUCUGAAGGGGCUCCAGCCCACUGUUCUUUAAAGUGCCCCUAAUAAACCCAGAAUCAGUUAGAGGCACUGUGUUGAUGAAACCCACCUUUGUUGUUGGGUUUAUGGGUGUGAAUGUCUGGCCCUGUAAACUGGAUCAAAGUGACAGACCAGAAUGAAGACUCUGGGGGAAAUCCUGUCUGUCUUCCCUUUGUCCUGCUGUGAUCUCCCGUUCUGCAGAUGAAGUGUCCUCCUGCAGACGGCGUUGGUAAACUUGCACACUGGCAACUCCUUUUCCUCACAGAGACUCACAAUAGGUGUAAUGAGGCAUCAGGAUGAAGUAGUUUGUUGUCUGGUGUAAACAGAUGGAUGUAGGCUGUGAUUAAAACCAAUUAACUCCCCCCCAGAUCUAAAUAACUUUCUGUCAUUAAUGCACAUAUUUUACACCUCAUUAGAGGCCUGUGAUUGGAGGUGGAAAAAUACCACACAAGAAAGGAGAGGAAGGAGAGGGACUCAUUUGCAUUUUAGAUUCACAAUAUGCUGAGGACGAGGGGGGGGGGGGGCUGAGUGGCUGAAAACACUCGAGGCCACAUCUGUGUGAGCUAAAAGAGCUUCAGGAAGCGACACAUGACUUCCUCUAAUUAGUUGUAAGCUUUUCAUUUUUUUGGUAGUAAUGUGGACAGUCACACAACCCAUUCCUCCCUGUCGCCUCCCCCCUCCUCCUCCCCUGGUGCUGAAAUGUGCAUCGUGGGGUGAAACAGGCAAGAUGUUAACUAAUUUUAUUUUUAAUCUUUCCUUUUGCCGCCGAGCGUGUCGUGCGGGCACUGUGUCUUCUGAAAUUUCCUCGCCUCUUUCAUGGAAACAUAUUGGGGCAGAAUUCGCCAGCUGUCGGCCUCCUCUCCCUUCUGCUGCCAUUAUCCUCAAGCCCCGCCCACCCUUAUGUCCGCCCAGCCUGCCAGAGAGUGCCGCCCGCUUCAAAAUCAAAAGGUGGCUCUUUUCAAUCCAGGCCACUGUCACAAACAUCCCCAAAACCUGAACCACCACCCUGCCCCACCACACCCCCUCCACCACCCGUGCAUACAACCUUCACUAACAUGUCCUCCAUGUUUGCUUCCACACUGUAUAUCAUACCCAGCACACAGCUUUGGCUCUGGAGUACGUGAUAGUGCCAGGCGUGUGACCAUAUGCCACCCCUUCACCCCCCGCCCCCUUUGCAACCUUACCUCCCUUAUCUGAUUCUCAACAUAUCUGUCCAUCCAUCAGGACACCAUCACACCACAAGAAGAGGAUUCACAGGUUCAACAGCCUCCAGCUUCACUUCUUCCCUGCCUCUGGUCUGUUUACAUCCACAGAAAUCUGGGCUACCCCCUGAACAGGACUUGUGACCUGUGUACCUGGAAAUGCAUAGCCCCGAAUUUAAAUAAAUGAAAGUCUUUUUUAUCUUAUAAGAGGUGUUGGGUAAAUUAGAUAAAGAUCUAAGUUGAAGAAAAAAAUUAAAUACUUUUUUUUUAAUAAGUUUAACAUAGAAAUGUUUUAUUUAGAAAAAAAAAGUGGGAAAAAAAACAGUUUUAUUAAAAAAUAAGCUUUAUAAAAAAAGUUUGAUAGGAAAGAAGUUUCAUAAAGAAAGAAGUUUUAUGAUAAAAUAAGUUUAAUAAAAAAAUUGUAAGUUUGAUGAAUAAAAUAAAUUUGAUAAAUACAUGUUUUUUUUAUUCACUUUUUUCUUGAAUUUCUUCAGUUUUUUUUAUAAUGAGGAGAAAUUUCACAGAAAACAUGACUCAUGAAAUCAUCUUUCAAAUCUGCUGUGUAAAUAGUAGGCACCCCUGUCCUGUCUGCAUGUUUGCCUUGCUCUUAAAGGGAAUGGGAGAUCAUCUUACACCAAAAAAACAUGCCUUAAAACAUAAGACCUCUUUGCUCCCUGCCCCUCACUCCAGACUCAGACCAGUGCUGCAGUAAAAUAAUAGGACUCUGUCAGUGCAUGAAUGAUAUUGCAAAGUCAGGCCAUAUUUGGGAUCAUGAAGCAGAAAGGAUCAUCUUACGAUGUGACUCCUCUCAGCACCCAGAACUCUGAAUUUGACUGAACCUGCAGCUGAUUUUAUCCACAUGCACACGUUUAGUUUUUUAGAUUCUUCCCCUCAGAGUCAUUUUCCAUGAACUUGGUUUCUGGCUCGUGGAAGGCUCUUCUCUUUGUUGCACUGAUACUUUUCAGCUCAGAUCAGUCCCUGGUUUCAAAUCCUGUGUUGGUUUUUUUCUCCUUUAUUCAUGCAUUAUGGUCCUUAUUACACUGGUAUAUGUGCAGUGCCGUACUUUUAUUAAUAUCCCCCACAAUAAGCGUGUGAUCUCCUGAGCAGCUUGUCCUCCGGAUUAUGUCUGGCUGAGCGACUCCGUUGACCCUAAGGCUCUGUGUCAGAUGCUGCUUAAGGACCUGGGGGCUGAGGGGGGCUGGGGAGGCCUCCCUGAUGUCCUCUAAUGGGGUCCAGCCUCCACAGAGCUCUCACACAUCUGCAUGCAAUGAUACCUCUCCUCACAGUCAGGCCUGUUGGAUCUGAGAGCCUGUCAUACUGAGAGAAAGACUGAGAGUCAUUGAAGGACAGGAGGGUCUGUGCUCUUCUAGAGGAGGAAAGAGGAUAGAGGAUAUCUCUCUAGAAAUCAACAUACAGUGGCACAAGGAGCUGGUUUCUCUGUUAGUCCAGGAACUGUGCUGACGUCCCAACAGAACCAGUACGGAGAAAGUAUGGAGAACACCCUGGUUCUGUUGUCUGUAUUUGAAGUACAGUGGUACAUUUAUGACAGAAAUAUGGGAGUGUUUGCUGGUACAGAUCUUUUUCUGGUUUGUGGAUGUUUGCAGAAUCCUGACUCUUUCUUUGAGCCUUUUACAGUGUUCUGAUCCACAAAUAUGGUGAUAUGUCCAUUCACCCCUUAGCCGCCUGGUCCACCUUAAACGAACCCGGGUCUGUUCCCCUGAUGGUCAGGUUCCCCUGAUGGUCAUGUUCUUUGGGCAUGCUAUGAAAUCUCAGACUUCAGUGUGGUUUGUUUGAGGUGUAAAAGUAAAGCUGGACCUGAAACUGUACCUUCAAAAAGGUUCUGAUUUUCACUGUUGAUCCUAGAGACCCUGAUAAUCUGGUUCUCUUAGAACAAUUGCUUUUGUACUGUCAAUCAUUAGAUCCUCUCAUCACAGUUAGACAGCUUUGUCAGCAGUAAGGGAAAGGGUCUCAGGUGGUCUUAGUCCAACCUGACAGAUAGAACCUUCUCUAUCUGUAGGAUUAUUUCUCUUAGACUUGUGGUAUCCCAUGAGAGGUGUUGCCACAGUUACUUCAAAAAAGUAUUUUGAUUACUGAUUAUGGAUUACUUCUUUAAAAGUAACUUAGUCACUUUACUGAUGACUUGAUUUUAAAAAGUAAGUUAGAUAAGUUACUUUUUAAGGUACACCCAGAAGCCUCAACAUAUAAUUGACAACAAUUUUCUUUCCAACACUCACUUUAUUGGAAGUGUAAUUUUAACAGGAAUGUCAAAAAAUACAUAUCUUUAAAUAAUUAAAUAAAUAAAUAAAUAGAUAAAGAUAGUCUUUCUUAACUGACAAAACAUCAAGAUUUUGAUUUACUAAAACAUGAUUUUGAUUUACUAAAGUUAAUGAAAGUGAGUGAAUAUGCUCUAACAUUUUAACCUACAUUAACUUUUGUGUAGAUAUAUUUUUGGAUGUGGAUGAAUUUAGGAUCACUCAAGUAAGUGAAUAUUUGAAUCAUGAGGUUUGUAUACUUAAGUGAGGCUGGUCCUUGAAGAGGAUGGGACAGGUUCACCGAAGGUUCGGGUUACCAGUGGUUUGAGAGGUUUGGCUCAGCAGAGGACUGGAGUCAGCCAAGAGAUGGGUCAGGAGUCACAGCACUCGGGCCUAAAUGCAAAAAACAGCACCUUGUGAAUCCUAUGGACGCUAUUUUGGUCUCACCAUAAAACUCUGGCACAGAGGAUGACUUUGGGCCCGCUGUGUGGCGUUCAGAGGUGACAUUGGAAUCAGGCUGAGAACUAAGAAAAAGAGGCUUGAUAGCCAGUCAAUACUAUUUCAAAACAGUUGAAGUUUCAAAACUUUAAGACGAUGUUAAAGAAAAAUUUAAUCAAUGUAAAUGAACACGUGGCAGAAAACUUAGAAGACUAAGAGAAAAAAUAAAACUAAGUAGUAGGAGUAACAGCUAAGAGGGAAAUAAGAGGAUCAGAGAAUAAAACACAGAAAAGAGUGAGCACCCCAGCUUUACUGGUUUUAUCUCCUUCACACUGGGAGUGUCUCUGAGGUGUGUGCGUGUGAGGAGAGAGAGGAGGGGUUAUUGAGCCUCCUGCUGCAGCUCCUUGAGGGGAGACCUUCAAGAUCUCUGAUUAUUUGAUCUAACUUAUACCUUUGACUGGUAAAGGAGUCAGAUCUGAUUCUCACUCACUAUGAUUAAUAUCAUUGAAUGCUUGGUUUCAUGAUAAAUGAUUUGAUACUAAACACAUAUGAAGAAAUAUAGAAUCACAUCAAACAUUCUCAUUAUGAUUUAAGUAUCACGUUGAACAUAUUCAAUUACUCUGAAGUGAAACAGGUAGUAACAAAUAGAAACUGUAAGUACAUGCAAAUGAACUUCAUCAAGAUUCACAAGUUCGAUCCAAGAUGGCGCCAGGAGUAGGUGCCCUGGUGUUUUGGUGCUCAUUGUUUUGUCUGUUUUUGUGCGUUGACUGUGUGUCAUCGUGCUCCUACACCCGUGUGGAGCUUCUAAACAUUAGAUCAACUACACCCACAGACAUUAUGCCAGUUUUUUUAGCAUCUGCUGCUGAACUGGUCCACUUUUUGGCCAAAAGAGUGAGACGCCGGCGAAGGGGAGAGUGAGCUGGGGUGCUCGCGCAUCUCAGACAGCGAGGCACGCGUACGCCCUUACCUGGGAUUUUCCUCUCCAACGUCUGCUCACUCAGCAACAAGAUGGAUGAGCUAGCACUGCUGAUGAAGAGGAAUAGAGACUUCUCCUCAUCUUGUGUUCUGUGCUUCACGGAGACGUGGUUAAAUGCACAGACACCGGAAUGCGCCAUACAACUUGAGGGUUUUCAGCUCCUCCGCGCAGACAGAGAUCGUGUACUCUCAGUUGGAAAAACAAAAGGUGGAGGAGUCUGCUUCUACAUCAACAACGCCUGGUGCUCCGAUGUGACAGUGAUCUCCCAACACUGUUCUCCUUCUCUGGAAUAUCUCUUCAUAAACUGCAAACUGCUCUACUCUCCAUGUGAGUUUGUCUCAUUCAUACUCUGCUCUGUUUACACUCCACCGAGUGCGGAUGUGCACGAGGCCGAGCGCGCGCCUGCGGAGCAGGUUAUGAGCUUAGAGAGGAAUUUUCCGGACUCCUUAGUUAUAAUCCUUGGUGACUUUAACGAAGGAAAUCUCAGUCAGGAACUACCAAAAUACACAAAUUCAUUUCUGUGAAGACAGCAUCAUCCCACAACAUACCAGGGUGAAAUACAACAAUGACAAGCCCUGGUUUACAUCAAAAUGCACAACGCACGUCUGGAGCAAAGAUUCUCUGCCAACGACCCUGCCUUGGUGUGGAGGGGGUUGAAAGAGAUUACAAACUACAAGCCCAAAGCACCUCGUUCAACUGACGACUUGAAACUAGCCAACGACCUGAACGACUUCUAUUCACGCUUCAAAGUCAUGGACUCACAUCCCCUCAACCCCCUACACAACUGGAAAUCUAACCACUUUUGGCCUCCCCCCUCCCCCCGCUGCCCUCUCGGUCCAUGAAGAGGAAGUAAACAGACUGUUUAAAAGGCUGAGUCCACAAAAGGCUGGUGGCCCAGACGAUGUCUCUCCUGCCACUCUGAGACACUGCACUGAUGAGCUAGCUCCAGUCUUCACGGGGAUCUUCAACACCUCCCUUGAGUCAUGCCAUGUUCCAGCCUGUUUCUAGUCCUCCAUCAAUGUUGCCAUCCCCAAGAAACCUUGCAUAACUGGACUCAAUGACUACAGACCAGUGGCUCUUACGUCUGUAGUCAUGAAGACCUUUGAACGCCUGGUUUUUGUCCAUCACCGACCCCCCCCCCCCCCCCCCCACAGACUUCCCGACAGACCGGAGUCAGUGUGUGCGGCUGGAGAAGAAUGUUUCGGACACUCGGGCUCUUAGCACAGGAUCUCAUUUAGUUUGCGGAUGACACCACCCUCAUCGGACUCAUUUUGGAUGGAGAUGAGUAUGCCUACAGGAGGGAAGUGGACUGGCUGGUGACCUGAGCUCAACGCCCAGAAGACAGUGGAGAUGAUUGUGGACUUCAGGAAAGCCACAGUCCCCCUGCCCUCCCUCAACCUCACCAACUCCCCCAUCACCACUGUGGACUGUUACCGCUUCCUUGGCACCACCAUCACCCAGGACCUCAAGUGGGAGCCAACCAUCAGCUCCCUCAUCAAGAAGGCCCAGUAGAGGAUGUAUUUCUUGUGGCAGCUGAGGAAAGCCAAGCUGCCAGUCCAGCUGAUGGUGCAGUUCUACACGGUCAUCAUCGAAUCCAUCCUAUGCUCCUCCAUCAUGGUUUGGUACACCGGGGCCACUGCCAGGGACAGACACAGACUGCAGCGCAUUGUAGGCUCUGCUGAGAAGGUGAUCAGCUGUAGCCUUCCAUCUCUCCAUGACCUGUACGUCUCCAGGACUCGGGGCCGAGCAGGUCGGAUCACAGCUGACCCUUUUCACCGUGCACAUGGACUAUUUGAGACACUCCCCUCAAGCAGGAGGCUACGGUUCAUUCAGACCAGAACCUCCUGCCAUAAGACCAGUUUCUUCCCCUCUGCCGUUAGACUCAUGAACACUUUAUAACUCAGUCACUUUAACUCUGUCACUUUAUCACUGGUCACUUUAGUUUAAUGUACUUUAGAUUUUUAAUUGCAUUCCUCCCACUGCACUGUAGUUCUAGAUAGUUUAGUUGUACAUAGCUUUUUAUACUUAUUGCACAUAGCAUUGUACAUAAUUGUACAUAUUUUUAUACUUUAUAUAUUUCUUGCAUGCUCUUAUUAGUUUUUAUUCUAGUAUUUUAUAUUUUUCUCUGUUUAUUGUUGCACCAUCAUGCCAAAACAAAUUCCUAGUCUGUGAAUCCUGUUCAUCGACAAUGGCAAUAAAACCCCUUUCUGAGUUCUGAGUUCUAAUAGGUUCUAUAUCUUCACAUUCAGAUUAUUCAAUGACAUUAUAACCACUGAAUGAUUAAAAAUAUUAAAUAAAUGAUUAAAAUAAAAACCAAACAUUUCUAAACUAUUUCUGUUUCUUAGAGUAAAAUUAUUAUUCAUAGUCCAUAGAUUUAACGCUUAAGGUUCAUGAAACAGUCUGGAAAGCUGUUGGUCUAAAGAAACAAAAGAAUAAAGAAUUUAUUCAGUCAGAGUGAUAACUUGGCUUCUGGAGCAUGUAGAAAAAUGGGACACAUUUCAUUUUUUUGUACUGAUUAGUACAUUGCUGAAUGCAUACGAUGUUAUGAUCAGUCAUUUGUAUUCUUUCUCCAAAGGAAUGCUGUUUUUAUCAGUAUAUGGUUGAGCAGGAUUUUAUGACAGAGGUCUGGAGGUCAGUGUCCAGCUCCUCAGACCUUUGGUUGGAUUCCAUGUGCUAACACACUUUACAACAGUAAAUCUCAAAUGGAAGACUUCAUUGAUUAAUGAAUACUGGUUUUAUCUUAUUAGAUGGUCAGUGAUGGAAAAACUCUGUCUGUGUUCUCCAAAUUGACUAAUUUAGAAGAGCCAGAGGUUUAGGUCAACCUUCGGUUGGGUCAGUUAGGUAACCUGAAAGUACAAAAAAGUCUGGAAAGAUUUAUAUUAUCCUGUGUCCUGGGACUAGAUAAGGGACCUUUUCUGUGAGGAAAGUAUGAGUUUCACACACAAGGUUGUCUUGAUGCUACAGCCUUAUUCCUGUGUUGUCAGAUCCGAUGUCUGAAACAUCUCUGAAGCUGAUGGGAUGAAUCCAUCUAAAUGUCUGUUCUUUAAAAGGCUCAAAUCAAACGAUUGACGAGAUUGUGACAGUCUGAAGUUGUUUUAUUGGAGGAAAUGCUACCGAAAUGACGUCAUUUGCCCUGUGUAAAUAGGAUUUAGAUCUAUCUGCGUAUUUUCAGAUGCUUAAGUUAAAGUUUAAACCAGUAUCAGAGUUAAAUUGGUCAAAUCCACCACAUUUAACGUGACAUUAUUAACCUGAGCUCAGAGGUGGCUUUCGAUGCUUUGCUAAGACUCUGUUACAUGGUCAUGUGUAUUUGUGUAUGCAUCGUUUUGCUGUGUCUGUGUUAAUUUGCUCUAACGAUGGCCCUCAUUAGUUCUAAUAAAUCCUCUGACUUUGCCUCCUUCCUCUGGAGCUGACUUUUCUCCAAACAACGCCUGUUAAAUCUCCUGCUUGCAUUUUCAGUGUUUGAUGCCUCCGUUAAUUGGCCAUGAUUCGAGCUUUUUCUUCUGCUUUCGUCGAUGCUCCAAUUCAGUGCAGAGCUAAUGGCAAAUGUCACAGUGAAUUGGCAGCUGCAUUAGCACGGCGGGCGCGUCUUCAUUCUAUUUUUUGUCUGCAGCUCAAUGUAUACAUGACUAUCAUGGAAGGCCAUCCACCUCAUUAAGGGGCCUGGCCAUUAAGACAGGAGCAACAGUUGUGGACAUGAUGUGGGAGCGUCAGGACGAAGAGGAUUGUUUCCCCCUCAGCAGCUCGGGUCAUUAGCUCCAGCUCUGCUCCUCUAAAAUGCUGAUAAUGAUUGACUGUGAGAAUGGAGACGCUGUUUGGGCAGAGAUUAGACAGCAGUGGGACCAUCACACCUAAUUAAGCUGGUUCACCUCAAACAGCCUGACAUUUGGCUCAAAGGUUGAGAGAAAUCCCAUACCCUGAUCAGGAGAACCCAAGCCUUCACCUGAUCAGAUUUCAGGUAACAGAAAGACAUGAAAAUCCAACCUUCAGAGAGAGAAGAUGAAGUUUAUGAGACUAUUGAAAAGAUGCAUAAACAGUUUUUCUCUGAUAUUAUGGUGCAGGUAGGAAAACCUACAACACUACAUUGGUUGUGCUGCACACUCCGGGUUUGCAGAUCCUGAAAAAGUCGACUCAUGUUAGACUUUCCAGACUGAUCAGCAGCUGAAAAAUGGGUAAAAAGACAAAGAGGGGCAUUUAGGGUGGGGGGGUGUUUCAUAGUUCAGAACAUGCUCUACCACAGGAUUCAAUACGAACACACCGGCUGAAGGUGUUGCAGAUUAGCCUGGCUGGGCCAUCCUGUUGCAUGAAUCACUUGAUGUUCCUUCCCACCACAGUCUGGACUUCGGCCCAUAGAGAGCAUGUAUUCCUGAUCAGAAAAUAACCGGGUCAAUCAGAGACCGUGUUUCCACUGUUACCCGGACAACAGGGAAAGGCAGCCCCUGAUUGGUCCAUGUGUAGUGGUGACGUCUAACACAUGCUGCAGGACUUUUCAAAGCCCCGUUCAUUCAGAACGCCGUUAAUUCUGCAGUUGACUUUGCAAAGUCGGCAGAAAUCGUUUAGAUCCGAUCUAAACGAUUAUGUGUUGUGAUUAUGUGUUGCAGGGCCGAAGUCCAGACUGUGGUGGGAAGGAACAUCAAGUGAUUCACGCAACAGGAUGGCCCAACCAGGCUAGUUGCAGAUAGACACUCAGCAGGGGUCUGCAGCUGUG